RNAcentral lists this ribosomal RNA (1715 nucleotides) under Oxyrrhis marina. RNAcentral's name for it is "SSU rRNA". It matches the Rfam family "Eukaryotic small subunit ribosomal RNA". The record is from RNAcentral. Lineage: Eukaryota; Dinophyceae; Oxyrrhinales; Oxyrrhinaceae.
AGUGAUAUGCUUGUCUCAAAGACUAAGCCAUGCAUGUGUCAGUAUAUAUUGUGCAUUAGAAAACUGCGGAAAGCUCAUUAGAAAAGUGUAAAUGAAAAGUUGUUGUAAUAAUACGCAUACCUUCUGUAAUUCUGAGGCUAAUGCGUGCAGGCAAUAAGACAGUUCCAAAACAUGCACAUAAUAAGUUGUAAUAUCACCAAUUUAUUGGGUUGAUGUGCAACACAAUUAUGUAAGCUGUUGCUUGUCACAAAAGCGAUUAUAUUCUUACCUAUCAGCUUGCGAUGAUACGCUAGUGACGUAUUAUGGCUGUUACGGGUGGCGAAGAAUUAGGGUUUGAUCUCGGAGAGGACGCUUGAGAAAUAGCGGCUACAUCUAAGGAAGGCAGCAGGCGCGCAAAUUACCCAAUCUUGACACAAGGAGGUAGUGACAAGAAAUAACUGUGUGUGGCUCUAUGCUGCACAUCCGGAAUGUGUGACAGGUUAAGCGUGUUGCGAGUAGCUAUUGGAGGGCAAGUCUGGUGCCAGCAGCCGCGGUAAUUCCAGCUCCAAGAGUGUAUAUUAAAGUUGUUGCGGUUGAAAAGCUCGUAGUUGGAUUUAUGCUAUGCUGGUACAGUCGACCCCCUGGGUAGGACUUGUAUUGUUGCAUUGCACAUUGUAGAAUUUUUGUACGUUUUUCAGUAAAUGUGCAGAAUGCUGCUUAGUUACUUUGAGGAAAGUGGAGUGUCACACGCAGGUUGCGCCGUGAACAUGCUAGCAUGGCAUGACGCUGUAUGACUACGAGUCUUUUUGAAUGGUUUCGGGACACGUGGUAAUGAUUGAUAUGAGGUGUUGGGGAUACUCAUAUUUGACAGUUAGAGGUGAAAUUCUUGGAUUUGUCAAAGAUGAACAAAUGCAAUAGCAUUUAUCAUGGAUGUUUCAUUUGAUCAAGAACGAAAGUUAGGGGAUCGAAGACGAUCAGAUACCGUCCUAGUCUUAACCAUAAACUAUGCCAACUGGAAAUUGGAAUAUAUGGAGAGAAAAUACAUUCAGUAUUGUGCCUGAAAAGAGUAAGUGUGUGGGCUCCGGGGGGAGUAUAGUUGCAAGACUGAAACUUAAAGGAAUUGACGGAAGGGCACCACCAGGAGUGGAGCCUGCGGCUUAAUUUGACUCAACACGGGAAAUCUCACCAAGUCCAGACAUACGAAGGAUUGACAGAUUAAUCGCUCUUUCUCGAUUGUAUGGGUGGUGGUGCAUGGCCGUUCUUAGUUGGUGGAGUGAUUUGUCUGGUUAAUUCCGUUAACGAACGAGAUCCUAUUCUGCUAACUGUUGCAACAGUCUUUGGAAUGUUGGUACACUUAGAGGGACAUUGCGUGAGUAAUGCACGGAAGAGUCGGGCAAUAACAGGUCUGUGAUGCCCUUAGAUGUCCUGGGCUGCACGCGCGCUACAAUGGCACACGCCCCAAUGUAUCUAUGUCUGACAAGAAUAUAGGAUCAAGCAACGAUGCCGUGCCGGGAAUAGAUGAUUGUAAUUUUUUAUCUUGAACGAGGAAUUCCUAGUAAGGACAGAUCAACAAUCUGUGCUGAUUACGUCCCUGCCCUUUGUACACACCGCCCGUCGCUCCUACCGAUUGAGUAAUCCGGUGAAUGGUGACGAUUGUCCGAACGCUCCUGAGCCUCGUGCAACAAGCAUCGUUAACCUCACUACUUAGAGGAAGGAGAAGUCGUAACAAGGUUUCC